RNAcentral lists this ribosomal RNA (1306 nucleotides) under uncultured bacterium. RNAcentral describes it as "bacterial SSU rRNA". It matches the Rfam family "Bacterial small subunit ribosomal RNA", at positions 28 to 1381 of the family's 1533-position model. The record is from RNAcentral.
AACGUACGCUGGCGGCACGCCUAACACAUGCAAGUCGAACGAAGUAGCAAUACUUAGUGGCAGACGGGUGAGUAACAUGUAGGUAUCUGCCCUUUGGCCUGGAAUAACACGAGGAAACUUGUGCUAAUACCGGAUAAGUCUUUACGGAGAAAGCUUUAUGCACCAUUGGAUGAGCCUGCACUUGAUUAGUUUGUUGGUGGGGUAAUGGCCUACCAAGACUGUGAUCAAUAGCUGAUUUGAGAGGAUGAUCAGCCACAUUGGGACUGAGACACGGCCCAAACUCCUACGGGAGGCAGCAGUGGGGAAUCUUGCACAAUGGAGGAAACUCUGAUGCAGCGAUGCCGCGUGAGUGAAGAAGGCCCUUGGGUUGUAAAGCUCUUUCGUCGGGGAAGAAAAUGACUGUACCCGAAUAAGAAGGUCCGGCUAACUUCGUGCCAGCAGCCGCGGUAAUACGAAGGGACCUAGCGUAGUUCGGAAUUACUGGGCUUAAAGAGUUCGUAGGUGGUUGAAAAAGUUAGUGGUGAAAUCCCAGAGCUUAACUCUGGAACUGCCAUUAAAACUUUUCAGCUAGAGUAUGAUAGAGGAAAGCAGAAUUUCUAGUGUAGAGGUGAAAUUCGUAGAUAUUAGAAAGAAUACCAAUUGCGAAGGCAGCUUUCUGGAUCAUUACUGACACUGAGGAACGAAAGCAUGGGUAGCGAAGAGGAUUAGAUACCCUCGUAGUCCAUGCCGUAAACGAUGUGUGUUAGACGUUGGAAAUUUAUUUUCAGUGUCGCAGGGAAACCGAUAAACACACCGCCUGGGGAGUACGACCGCAAGGUUAAAACUCAAAUGAAUUGACGGGGACCCGCACAAGUAGUGGAGCAUGUGGUUUAAUUCGAAGAUACGCGCAGAACCUUACCAACACUUGACAUGUUCGUCGCGACUCUAAGAGAUUAGAGUUUUCGGUUCGGCCGGACGAAACACAGGUGCUGCAUGGCUGUCGUCAGCUCGUGUCGUGAGAUGUUGGGUUAAGUCCCGCAACGAGCGCAACCCUCACUUUUAGUUGCCAUCAUUAAGUUGGGCACUCUGAAAGAACUGCCAGUGAUAAGCUGGAGGAAGGUGGGGAUGACGUCAAGUCCUCAUGGCCCUUACGUGUUGGGCUACGCACGUGCUACAAUGGUAUCUACAACAGGAAGCAAGACUGCGAAGUUAAGCAAAUCCCUAAAAGAUACCUCAGUUCGGAUUGCACUCUGCAACUCGAGUGCAUGAAGCUGGAAUUACUAGUAAUCGUGGAUCAGCGUGCCACGGUGAAUGCGUUCCCGGGUCU